RNAcentral lists this ribosomal RNA (253 nucleotides) under uncultured bacterium. RNAcentral's name for it is "partial 16S ribosomal RNA". It matches the Rfam family "Bacterial small subunit ribosomal RNA", at positions 524 to 776 of the family's 1533-position model. The record is from RNAcentral.
GACGAACCGUGCGAACGUUGUUCGGAAUCACUGGGCUUAAAGGGCGCGUAGGCGGGCGGCCGCGUCCGGGGUGAAAUCCCACGGCUCAACCGUGGAACGGCCUCGGAUACGGGCGGCCUCGAGGGGGGUAGGGGCAUCUGGAACUGUGAGUGGAGCGGUGAAAUGCGUUGAUAUUCACAGGAACUCCGGUGGCGAAGGCGAGGUGCUGGACCCCUUCUGACGCUGAGGCGCGAAAGCUAGGGGAGCGAACGGG